This 24-nucleotide non-coding RNA is filed under the name Arabidopsis thaliana (thale cress). Lineage: Eukaryota; Viridiplantae; Streptophyta; Magnoliopsida; Brassicales; Brassicaceae. The record is from RNAcentral.
AGACUGCAUUGGUUCCUCAUCAUC